Nothoprocta perdicaria is the source of this 634-nucleotide long non-coding RNA. RefSeq lists it as uncharacterized. NCBI's taxonomy places the organism in Eukaryota, Metazoa, Chordata, Aves, Tinamiformes, Tinamidae. The record is from RefSeq and is a predicted model, not a curated record. The transcript has 2 exons.
AGCUUGGAAGAAAUGUGGCCAGGACAUUCUUGGAUUACUACAGACUGAACASCUUGGUGGAGGGACCGCUAGCACCUAUUCCUAAAACUCGGAAAGAAAAAGCGCCGCUUUUUAAGUGCCCUUCGCAGCAGGACCAAGGGAGCAGCCGCGCUGGCACCAAGACGGAGAAGCGGAGCCAGACCAAGCUCAAGGAGCCGACGCUCUCCACRGGAUGCUAGGAGAGGAGCGCGGGGCCGCAGCGAAGGAGCACGUCCAGGGGCUGCAGCUGAUAAUGCUUCUCUUUUUCUCCCAGACAAGUAUUUCUCGGAUAAUGAAUAGGCCAAGGGGAAAGAGGGAGAGGAAAAUUAGCUAGAAAUUUUACUAUUGAUUCUUUUUUAUUUAUAGAUGGUAAAUCAAUUUCAGGCCUUUCUUGUGGCUUGUCGCUGGGAAAAAAAGAGCGACCCAAUGGAUUUACAGAAAUCAUUGCUGCGGCUGAAAAGCCAUUUGUUAAAACAAGGAAGCCUCUGCUUUCUCUGCCAGUCCCCCUCUCUCUCUCUUUCAAGGGGUAAUCCAUGCGAUGAGCAGACGAGGGACUCCCCGCUGCCCUGCUGCUCUGUGCUCGUCUCUCCUUGCCGCGCCGACCUCCGAAGCUGCU